AAACAAGAAGCAAAUUUUGCACUCAGUUUCGACCUGAGCUUUGAUGAAAUAUCAUCCUUGUUUA
RNAcentral lists this transfer RNA (64 nucleotides) under Lepisma saccharinum. RNAcentral's name for it is "Lepisma saccharina tRNA-Arg". The record is from RNAcentral. Lineage: Eukaryota; Metazoa; Arthropoda; Insecta; Zygentoma; Lepismatidae.